Molecule: long non-coding RNA, 967 nt
Organism: Rosa rugosa (rugosa rose)
Lineage: Eukaryota; Viridiplantae; Streptophyta; Magnoliopsida; Rosales; Rosaceae
Exons: 2
Source: RefSeq, a predicted model, not a curated record
GUGAACUUACUCCAAAAACACACUCGUCCCCAUAUGUCCAAUAAUCUCAUCCACAUAUGCCAUGGACACUUGACACUACAAGCUAGCUAGGUAUAGCCAACUGCGAUAUCCAUGCAUCUAUGUUUAUGCAUGAACAUCGCAUCAUCAAUUUGUGUGUCUAUAUAAGGCAUUGGAAAGUGGAAACUCAAACUGUGUGGAGAGAAACUUGUAGAAUUUCCAGCUACUUACCUGGUGAAGUAACUACUUUUGUUGCAAUUACAUGAUGGCUUUCUUAACGGUGAACAAGCGCAAUAACAUCUCUCUUCAGCUCGCAUUUCUGCUACUCUUCCUCGUCCCGGCACUAUUACUCGUAGCUCAUGCACGAGAUAUCAGCAGCAGCAGCAGAAGGGUCGAUGUCGUCGUGAAGAAAGGUGCUGCUGCAAGUAGUGUGCUUCAAGAUGCAGAACCAAUCGAGAGCAGUGAUAUCAGCAGCAGCAGAAGCAGCCACGCAUUUGAAACAAAGCACGAACAAGAGAAUCUGACUGGUACAGAAGGCAUAGAUGACGAUUUACUGGUCGGGGAUUACACCCCAACUAGAAAGAAGUCUCCCAUUCAUAACUAAUGAAUGAAUGGUUCGAUCAAUCUCCGCCAUAAUAAAUUAAACUAGUAAAUCAAAUAUUGGUCCAUGCAGUAAGUACGUACUUGAAGAUUCCAUAUUUGAAACUCUCGAGUAAAUGUCUCUUCUGUGCUUGGCUAGCAGCUUGCUAGCUUCUGGAUCAUAAGGUAGCUAUCUAGCUAAAUAAGCCCUAUCUAAUAGGGUUCACUGGUUAGGGUGUGACGUGCGUGUGAGAAAGCUAUUGCUGCUGUUUACAUAUAUGUUGCCUGCAAGGCUUCUUAUUUGGUCUUUUAUAUGUACCAAUAAAUGUAAAGGUUGCUUGUUCACCAUAGAUAUGUUAUAUGAUAGAAUGACAAACAUGGCCUUACUUAA